GCUCAAAUUUGAAAUCUUAAAGGGUUUCCCUUUACGAAUUGUAGUUUAAAGAAGUGUUUUCUGUUGAGGUUUUGGUAAAAGUUCUUUGGAAUAGGACAUCAUAGAGGGUGAGAAUCCCGUAUUUGACCUUUACUUUCAACUUUGUGAUACACUUUCAAAGAGUCGGAUUGUUUGGGAAUGCAGUCCAAAAUGGGUGGUAAAUUUCAUCUAAAGCUAAAUAUUGGCGAGAGACCGAUAGCGAACAAGUACCGUGAGGGAAAGAUGAAAAGAACUUUGAAAAGAGAGUUAAACAGUACGUGAAAUUGUCAAAAGGGAAGCGUUUGACACCAGUGUUGUUUUCCUGAAAAUCAAUUAAAGAACUGUUUAUGCUAAGCUGUUUAGACUUUAUCAGCUAUCUGUUUAGUUUUGAGCUUUUCUUUAAUGCACUUUUCAGUUAACAAG
Molecule: ribosomal RNA, 441 nt
Filed under: uncultured Neocallimastigomycetes
Lineage: Eukaryota; Fungi; Neocallimastigomycota; Neocallimastigomycetes
Description: LSU rRNA
Rfam family: Eukaryotic large subunit ribosomal RNA
Source: RNAcentral